Molecule: non-coding RNA, 72 nt
Organism: Phrynosoma platyrhinos (Desert horned lizard)
Lineage: Eukaryota; Metazoa; Chordata; Lepidosauria; Squamata; Phrynosomatidae
Source: the annotation of a GenBank genome assembly
GGUAGUGUGCUGCAGUGGUUUGAGCAUUGCACUACGACUCUGGAGACCAGGGUUUGAAUCCCUGCUUGGCCA